This 192-nucleotide ribosomal RNA is filed under the name Amanita sp. 'crassiputamen'. RNAcentral's name for it is "partial 28S ribosomal RNA". It matches the Rfam family "Eukaryotic large subunit ribosomal RNA", at positions 1 to 176 of the family's 3401-position model. The record is from RNAcentral. RNAcentral also lists the same sequence under 1 other name. Lineage: Eukaryota; Fungi; Basidiomycota; Agaricomycetes; Agaricales; Amanitaceae.
UUUGACCUCAAAUCAGGUAGGACUACCCGCUGAACUUAAGCAUAUCAAUAAGCGGAGGAAAAGAAACUAACAAGGAUUCCCCUAGUAACUGCGAGUGAAGCGGGAAAAGCUCAAAUUUGAAAUCUGGCAGUCUUUUUUUUCUUCUUUGGCUGUCCGAGUUGUAAUCUAGAGAAGUGCUUACCUGCACUGGAC